Molecule: non-coding RNA, 119 nt
Organism: Populus trichocarpa (black cottonwood)
Lineage: Eukaryota; Viridiplantae; Streptophyta; Magnoliopsida; Malpighiales; Salicaceae
Source: Rfam
UAACUUAUUUGGGGCAAAUCCUCAUCAAAUUAUAGCAAGACCAUACUUGAUUGCUCAGAAUCACCUGCGAGAAAUACUAUAUAAAUAAUAACUUUUUAAUAUUUCAAUUAGAGUAUGUC